GCAACCGCGGUAAUUCCAGCUCCAAUAGCGUAUAUUAAAGUUGUUGCAGUUAAAAAGCUCGUAGUUGAAUUUCGGGGUCAGUAGGUCGGUCGUGCCACUGGUAUGAACUGGUUUUACUGAUUCCUCCCUCUUGAAGAACUGUAAUGCCAUUAAUUUGUUGUUGCAGGGAAUCAGGACUGUUACUUUGAAAAAUUAGAGUGUUUAAAGCAGGCUUUAGCUUGAAUACAUUAGCAUGGAAUAAUGAAAUAGGACGUUUGAUCCUAUUUUGUUGGUUUCUAGGAUUGACGUAAUGAUUAAUAGGGAUAGUUGGGGGCAUUAGUAUUCAAUUGUCAGAGGUGAAAUUCUUGGAUUUAUUGAAGACUAACUACUGCGAAAGCAUUUGCCAAGGAUGUUUUCAUUAAUCAAGAACGAAAGUUAGGGGAUCGAAGACGAUCAGAUACCGUCGUAGUCUUAACCAUAAACUAUGCCGACUAGGGAUCGGAUGAUGUAAUUUUUUAAUGACUCAUUCGGCGCCUUACG
This 519-nucleotide ribosomal RNA is filed under the name uncultured Glomeromycotina. RNAcentral's name for it is "SSU rRNA". It matches the Rfam family "Eukaryotic small subunit ribosomal RNA", at positions 570 to 1092 of the family's 1831-position model. Lineage: Eukaryota; Fungi; Glomeromycota. The record is from RNAcentral.